This 840-nucleotide long non-coding RNA is filed under the name Cricetulus griseus (Chinese hamster). RNAcentral's name for it is "lncRNA (ENSCGRG00015033733.1)". Lineage: Eukaryota; Metazoa; Chordata; Mammalia; Rodentia; Cricetidae. The record is from RNAcentral.
GAUCCAAUUCUGUGCUAUAUCCAAAUGUAUAAAUAAAAAACAAAACAGAAGUGUAGAUGAUCUCUUCUCAGGACUCAUUUGCAUCUGUAAAUGAAUGUGAGAGUGUGCUGGAGAGCUGGUCCAGCCUUCCAAUAACAACAUGUCCUGGCUCUAUGAAAAAACUGAUCUGUGAAGCUGCAGAUUGAGGACUGAUUGCUUUGAGAAUACUGAACUUAACAAAUCAGGAGUGGAAAUUUUUUGGAAGCUGAGGCAUGGACUUGGAGUGGUUGAGAUAUUUAAGAUUCAUAUUUUUCAAUCUGUUGAUGAACAAGAUAUUGGAAUUCUGACUUGGUGAGGCAAGUGGGCAUCGUAUACACCUAAUCCUAUGUGGAAGGGUUCCAGUUCAGUUCAGUGUUUAGCUGUGAUGGAUGAAGGCUCUAGGAUGGCAUAGCCUUCAUCCAGUAGCUGUUCGAAGCAGAAACAGGCACCCAUAUCUAAGCACUGAACCAUACUCCUGGUAUCCAGUUGUUGAGAAGGAGGAGGGAUGAGCAAAGGAGCCAAGAUGGUGCUGCAGAAACCCACAGAAACAGUUGACCUGACCUACUGAGAGCAUGAAGACCCUAGUCAUAAAGCUGGAGAAACAACAUUGGAUCAGACCAAGCCCUCUGAAUGUGGGUGCCAGCUAGGAGGCCAAGGCAGUCUAUGGGACCUCUAACAGUGGAGCCAGUCUUUAACCCUAGAGCAUAAAUGGACUUUGGGAGCCCAUUUCCUAUGGAGGGAUACUAUUGCAGCCCAGAUACAGCAAGGAGGGCCUAGGCCUUUCCCAAAAAGGAUAUGACAGACUUUGAAGGUCUCUGGUGG